ACACUUGGGAACCCCUGAUGUGCA
RNAcentral lists this non-coding RNA (24 nucleotides) under Arabidopsis thaliana (thale cress). The record is from RNAcentral. Lineage: Eukaryota; Viridiplantae; Streptophyta; Magnoliopsida; Brassicales; Brassicaceae.